GAUGAAGAACGCAGCGAAAUGCGAUACGUAAUGUGAAUUGCAGAAUUCAGUGAAUCAUCGAGUCUUUGAACGCACAUUGCGCCCCCUGGUAUUCCGGGGGGCAUGCCUGUCCGAGCGUCAUUUCAACCCUCAAGCUCUGCUUGGUGUUGGGCCCUGCCCGCUGCGGCCGGCCCUAAAGACAGUGGCGGUGCCGCCUGGCCCUGAGCGUAGUACAUCUCUCGCUCCAGUGCCCGGUGGUAGCCUGCCAGAACCCCAACUCUCGUGGUUGACCUCGGAUCAGGUAGGGAUACCCGCUGAACUUAAGCAUAUCAAUAAGCGGAGGA
RNAcentral lists this unclassified non-coding RNA (323 nucleotides) under soil metagenome. Its description in RNAcentral is "partial contains 5.8S ribosomal RNA, internal transcribed spacer 2, and large subunit ribosomal RNA". The stretch from base 1 to 120 matches the Rfam family "5.8S ribosomal RNA", at positions 35 to 154 of the family's 154-position model. The record is from RNAcentral.